UGCGAAGGCGGUCGUCUAAGUCGGAGGUGAAAUGUCUACGGCUCAACCGAGGCAUUGCCUCCGAUACUGGACGACUUGAGUGCGGAAGGGGAGCGUGGAAUUCCUGGUGUAGCGGUGAAAUGCGUAGAUAUCAAGAGGAACACCGGUGGCGAAGGCGACGCUCUGGUCCGCAACUGACGCUCAUGCACGAAAGCCAGGGGAGCGAACG
Molecule: ribosomal RNA, 208 nt
Filed under: uncultured bacterium
Lineage: Bacteria
Description: partial 16S ribosomal RNA
Rfam family: Bacterial small subunit ribosomal RNA
Source: RNAcentral